CCUACGGGAGGCAGCAGUGAGGAAUAUUGGUCAAUGGUCGGGAGACUGAACCAGCCAAGCCGCGUGAGGGAUGAAGGUACAGAGUAUCGUAAACCUCUUUUGUCAGGGAACAAAGGCGGGGACGCGUCCCCGGAUGAGUGUACCUGAAGAAAAAGCAUCGGCUAACUCCGUGCCAGCCGCCGCGGUAAUACGGGGGAUGCGAGCGUUAUACGGAUUUAUUGGGGUUAAAGGGUGGGCAGGCGGUCUGUUAAGUCAGGGGUCAAAGCCGGGGGCCAAACCCCGGCCCGCCGUUGAAACUGGCAGUCUCGAGUUGGAGAGAAGUAUGCGGAAUGCGCGGUGUAGCGGUGAAAUGCAUAGAUAUCGCGCAGAACUCAGAUUGCGAAGGCAGCAUGCCGGCUCCACACUGACGCUGAGGCACGAAAGCGUGGGUAUCGAACAGGAUUAGAUACCCGGGUAGUC
This 459-nucleotide ribosomal RNA is filed under the name uncultured bacterium. RNAcentral's name for it is "partial 16S ribosomal RNA". It matches the Rfam family "Bacterial small subunit ribosomal RNA", at positions 338 to 795 of the family's 1533-position model. The record is from RNAcentral.